Molecule: ribosomal RNA, 468 nt
Filed under: uncultured bacterium
Lineage: Bacteria
Description: partial 16S ribosomal RNA
Rfam family: Bacterial small subunit ribosomal RNA
Source: RNAcentral
UACUAACGCUGGCGGCGUGCUUAACACAUGCAAGUCGAACGGAAAGGCCCUGCUUUUGUGGGGUGCUCGAGUGGCGAACGGGUGAGUAACACGUGAGUAACCUGCCCUUGACUUUGGGAUAACUUCAGGAAACUGGGGCUAAUACCGGAUAGGAGCUCCUGCUGCAUGGUGGGGGUUGGAAAGUUUCGGCGGUUGGGGAUGGACUCGCGGCUUAUCAGCUUGUUGGUGGGGUAGUGGCUUACCAAGGCUUUGACGGGUAGCCGGCCUGAGAGGGUGACCGGCCACAUUGGGACUGAGAUACGGCCCAGCCUCCUACGGGAGGCAGCAGUGGGGAAUAUUGCACAAUGGGCGGAAGCAUGAUGCAGCAACGCCGCGUGCGGGAUGACGGCCUUCGGGUUGUAAACCGCUUUCGCCUGUGACGAAGCGUGAGUGACGGUAAUGGGUAAAGAAGCACCGGCUAACUACGUG